AUGGCUCCUCCUUCACCACCAAAGGAGCCUACGAUGCACUGGCCUCUAGCUUGUCACCACAUGCUUGCAUGCAUCUGGGAUGCCCGCGUGCCUAGCCGGGUACGUGUCUUCGGCUGGCUCCUCUACCUCGGCAGGCUAAACACCAGGGCCAACCUUCAUCGCAAGACUCUUCUUGAGUCUUCAUCAUGCCCCCGAUGCGGGGCCACGCCAGAGGACCGUUCUCACCACUUCUUCACCUGCCCAGUUGCUCGGUCUAUUUGGGAAGCCAUUAGUUUUCUGCCAUGUUUCUCCCCCUUUGCAGCGCUUUGGACUUCCCCUUCCCAUAAGGUCCUUCUAGAGACCGUGUGGCCUCUCAUUGUGCUGCUCAUCACAUGGAAAUUUUGGGAUGCUCGAAAUGCUAAAACUUUUAGGGAUAUAGAUACUACUGCCUCCGAUGUUCUUAUAGGCAUUAUCUCUGACCUCACCCUAUGGUCUCACCGCCUCAGAAGGGCGGAAGACAAAGUCCAUGCCAGCUUGUGGUGGGACUUCUUUUCUUCUCACCUUCUCUAG
This 549-nucleotide ribosomal RNA is filed under the name Triticum aestivum (bread wheat). Its description in RNAcentral is "partial small subunit ribosomal RNA". Lineage: Eukaryota; Viridiplantae; Streptophyta; Magnoliopsida; Poales; Poaceae. The record is from RNAcentral.